Molecule: ribosomal RNA, 700 nt
Filed under: Pratylenchus zeae
Lineage: Eukaryota; Metazoa; Nematoda; Chromadorea; Rhabditida; Pratylenchidae
Description: partial large subunit ribosomal RNA
Rfam family: Eukaryotic large subunit ribosomal RNA (bases 76-700)
Source: RNAcentral
AACUUUUUAGAAGGGAGUAAAAAAGAAGGCGAACCCCUGAUGGGGGAAAAAGGAAAUAGCCCCAGUCUUUGUCUUUUUUUUUCAACCACCCGCAAGCAGCACUCGAGCUGGCGGCCCCCGCAUGGGGUUACAUAGUACCGUCAGGGAAAGUUGAAAAAGAACUUUUUUAAGAGAGUUAAUCAGUACGUGAAAUUGUCGAAAGGGAAACGCUUGCAUUCAGUCCCGUUCGCCGGGGAUCAACCUCGGGGGGGCUGGGCGUAUUUUCCGGCAAAAAAGGGCAUGGCUUUUUUGCCCGCUUAUGAAAGAGCUGUGGAUCGUCGGCGGUCGCUUGCGACACGACCUGUGCCAGCAGUUCGGUCCUGGUCGAGAUGACCUCUUCCCUAUUCUCGGUGUAAGAGCUGGUCAUCUCUCCGACCCGUCUUGAAACACGGAUCAAGGAGUUUAUCGUGUGCGCGAGUCAUUCAGCGUUGAAAACCCAAAGGCGCAAUGAAAGUGAAGUAACACGCAAGUGGCUGAUGUGCGAAAUUGUGUUCCAAGGCACACGAGCGCAGCAUGGCCCCAUCCUGACUUUUUGCAACGGGUUGGAGGAAGAGCGUGCUAUGAUGGGACCCGAAAGAUGGUGAACUAUUCCUGAACAGGAUGAAGCCAGAGGAAACUCUGGUGGAAGUUCGAAGCGAUUCUGACGUGCAAAUCGAUCGUC